This 526-nucleotide ribosomal RNA is filed under the name uncultured microorganism. RNAcentral's name for it is "bacterial SSU rRNA". It matches the Rfam family "Bacterial small subunit ribosomal RNA", at positions 9 to 520 of the family's 1533-position model. The record is from RNAcentral.
GAGUUUGAUCAUGGCUCAGGAUGAACGCUGGCGGCGUGCCUAAUACAUGCAAGUCGAACGAACAGAUAAGGAGCUUGCUCCUUUGACGUUAGCGGCGGACGGGUGAGUAACACGUGGGUAACCUACCUAUAAGACUGGGAAUAACUCCGGGAAACCGGGGCUAAUGCCGGAUAACAUGUUGAACCGCAUGGUUCUACAGUGAAAGACGGUCUUGCUGUCACUUAUAGAUGGACCCGCGCCGUAUUAGCUAGUUGGUGGGUAACGGCCUACCAAGGCGACGAUACGUAGCCGACCUGAGAGGGUGAUCGGCCACACUGGAACUGAGACACGGUCCAGACUCCUACGGGAGGCAGCAGUAGGGAAUCUUCCGCAAUGGGCGAAAGCCUGACGGAGCAACGCCGCGUGAGUGAUGAAGGUCUUCGGAUCGUAAAGCUCUGUUGUUAGGGAGACAAUGUGUAAGUAACUGUGCAUAUCUUGACGGUACCUAACCAGAAAGCCACGGCUAACUACGUGCCAGCCGCCGCGG